GUGCUUAACACAUGCAAGUCGAACGGAAAGGCCUCUUCGGAGGUACUCGAGUGGCGAACGGGUGAGUAACACGUGGGUAAUCUGCCCUGCACUUCGGGAUAAGCCUGGGAAACUGGGUCUAAUACCGGAUAGGACCUUUUGGCGCAUGCCUUUUGGUGGAAAGCUUUUGCGGUGUGGGAUGGGCCCGCGGCCUAUCAGCUUGUUGGUGGGGUGACGGCCUACCAAGGCGACGACGGGUAGCCGGCCUGAGAGGGUGUCCGGCCACACUGGGACUGAGAUACGGCCCAGACUCCUACGGGAGGCAGCAGUGGGGAAUAUUGCACAAUGGGCGCAAGCCUGAUGCAGCGACGCCGCGUGGGGGAUGACGGCCUUCGGGUUGUAAACCUCUUUCAGCAGGGACGAAGCGCAAGUGACGGUACCUGCAGAAGAAGCACCGGCCAACUACGUGCCAGCAGCCGCGGUAAUACGUAGGGUGCGAGCGUUGUCCGGAAUUACUGGGCGUAAAGAGCUCGUAGGUGGUUUGUCGCGUUGUUCGUGAAAUC
RNAcentral lists this ribosomal RNA (542 nucleotides) under Mycobacterium lentiflavum. RNAcentral's name for it is "bacterial SSU rRNA". It matches the Rfam family "Bacterial small subunit ribosomal RNA", at positions 44 to 601 of the family's 1533-position model. Lineage: Bacteria; Bacillati; Actinomycetota; Actinomycetes; Mycobacteriales; Mycobacteriaceae. The record is from RNAcentral.